RNAcentral lists this ribosomal RNA (401 nucleotides) under uncultured bacterium. Its description in RNAcentral is "bacterial SSU rRNA". It matches the Rfam family "Bacterial small subunit ribosomal RNA", at positions 355 to 773 of the family's 1533-position model. The record is from RNAcentral.
UCGGGAAUUUUGGGCAAUGGGCGAAAGCCUGACCCAGCAACGCCGCGUGAGGGAUGAAGUAUUUCGGUAUGUAAACCUCGAAAGAAUGGGAAGAAUAAAUGACGGUACCAUUUAUAAGCUCCGGCUAACUACGUGCCAGCAGCCGCGGUAAUACGUAGGGAGCAAGCGUUGUUCGGAUUUACUGGGCGUAAAGGGCGCGUAGGCGGCGCGGUAAGUCACUUGUGAAAUCUCUGAGCUUAACUCAGAACGGCCAAGUGAUACUGCUGUGCUUGAGUGCGGAAGAGGCAACCGGAAUUCUUGGUGUAGCGGUGAAAUGCGUAGAUAUCAAGAGGAACGCCUGAGGCGAAGGCGGGUUGCUGGGCCGACACUGACGCUGAUGCGCGAAAGCCAGGGGAGCAAAC